Molecule: ribosomal RNA, 1343 nt
Filed under: uncultured bacterium
Lineage: Bacteria
Description: 16S ribosomal RNA
Rfam family: Bacterial small subunit ribosomal RNA
Source: RNAcentral
GACGAACGCUGGCGGCGUGCUUAACACAUGCAAGUCGAACGGAAAGGCCCUGCUUUUGUGGGGUGCUCGAGUGGCGAACGGGUGAGUAACACGUGAGUAACCUGCCCUUGACUUUGGGAUAACUUCAGGAAACUGGGGCUAAUACCGGAUAGGAGCUCCUGCUGCAUGGUGGGGGUUGGAAAGUUUCGGCGGUUGGGGAUGGACUCGCGGCUUAUCAGCUUGUUGGUGGGGUAGUGGCUUACCAAGGCUUUGACGGGUAGCCGGCCUGAGAGGGUGACCGGCCACAUUGGGACUGAGAUACGGCCCAGACUCCUACGGGAGGCAGCAGUGGGGAAUAUUGCACAAUGGGCGGAAGCCUGAUGCAGCAACGCCGCGUGCGGGAUGACGGCCUUCGGGUUGUAAACCGCUUUCGCCUGUGACGAAGCGUGAGUGACGGUAAUGGGUAAAGAAGCACCGGCUAACUACGUGCCAGCAGCCGCGGUGAUACGUAGGGUGCGAGCGUUGUCCGGAUUUAUUGGGCGUAAAGGGCUCGUAGGUGGUUGAUCGCGUCGGAAGUGUAAUCUUGGGGCUUAACCCUGAGCGUGCUUUCGAUACGGGUUGACUUGAGGAAGGUAGGGGAGAAUGGAAUUCCUGGUGGAGCGGUGGAAUGCGCAGAUAUCAGGAGGAACACCAGUGGCGAAGGCGGUUCUCUGGGCCUUUCCUGACGCUGAGGAGCGAAAGCGUGGGGAGCGAACAGGCUUAGAUACCCUGGUAGUCCACGCUGUAAACGGUGGGUACUAGGUGUGGGGUCCAUUCCACGGGUUCCGUGCCGUAGCUAGCGCUUUAAGUACCCCGCCUGGGGAGUACGGCCGCAAGGCUAAAACUCAAAGGAAUUGACGGGGCCCCGCACAAGCGGCGGAGCAUGCGGAUUAAUUCGAUGCAACGCGUAGAACCUUACCUGGGUUUGACAUGGAUCGGGAGUGCUCAGAGAUGGGUGUGCCUCUUUUGGGGUCGGUUCACAGGUGGUGCAUGCCUGUCGUCAGCUCGUGUCGUGAGAUGUUGGGUUAAGUCCCGCAACGAGCGCAACCCUUGUUCACUGUUGCCAGCACGUUAUGGUGGGGACUCAGUGGAGACCGCCGGGGUCAACUCGGAGGAAGGUGGGGAUGACGUCAAGUCCUCAUGCCCCUUAUGUCCAGGGCUUCACGCAUGCUACAAUGGCUGGUACAGAGAGUGGCGAGCCUGUGAGGGUGAGCGAAUCUCGGAAAGCCGGUCUCAGUUCGGAUUGGGGUCUGCAACUCGACCUCAUGAAGUCGGAGUCGCUAGUAAUCGCAGAUCAGCAACGCUGCGGUGAAUACGUUCCCGGG